GACGAACGCUGGCGGCGUGCCUAAUACAUGCGAGUAGAACGCACAGUUCAUAGUGUAGCUUGCUACACCAUAGACCGUGAGGUGCGAACGGGUUAGGAACGCGUAAGUUACGUGCCUGGUAGCGGGAGACAACUAGUGGAAAUGAUAGCUAAGAUCGCUUGAUAUUGAUUAUUGCAUGAUAAUUUUUGGAAAGUUGCUAUUGCAUCACUAACCGAUGGACCUGCGUUGUAUUAGCUAGUAGGUGAGGUAACGGCGCAUCGAGGCGAGGAGACGUAGCCGCGCUGCGAGGGUGAUCGGCCAAGCUGGGACUGAGACACGGCCCAGACACCUACGGGAGGCAGCAGUAGCGAAUCUUCGGCGAUGGACGAAAGUGUGACCGAGCAGCGCCGCGUGAGUGACGAAGGGUUUCGGGUCGUAAAGAUCUGUUGUGAGAGAGGAACGGAUGUGAGAGUGGACAGUUCACACAAUGACGGUACCUGGCGAAAAAGCGACGGCUAACUACGUG
Molecule: ribosomal RNA, 505 nt
Filed under: uncultured bacterium
Lineage: Bacteria
Description: partial 16S ribosomal RNA
Rfam family: Bacterial small subunit ribosomal RNA
Source: RNAcentral